UGGGGAAUAUUGGACAAUGGGCGCAAGCCUGAUCCAGCCAUGCCGCGUGAGUGAUGAAGGCCUUAGGGUUGUAAAGCUCUUUCACCCACGACGAUAAUGACGGUAGUGGGAGAAGAAGCCCCGGCUAACUUCGUGCCAGCAGCCGCGGUAAUACGAAGGGGGCUAGCGUUGCUCGGAAUCACUGGGCGUAAAGGGCGCGUAGGCGGCCGAUCAAGUCAGGGGUGAAAGCCUGUGGCUCAACCACAGAAUUGCCUUUGAUACUGUUCGGCUCGAGACCGGAAGAGGUUGGUGGAACUGCGAGUGUAGAGGUGAAAUUCGUAGAUAUUCGCAAGAACACCAGUGGCGAAGGCGGCCAACUGGUCCGGUUCUGACGCUGAGGCGCGAA
RNAcentral lists this ribosomal RNA (385 nucleotides) under uncultured bacterium. Its description in RNAcentral is "bacterial SSU rRNA". It matches the Rfam family "Bacterial small subunit ribosomal RNA", at positions 355 to 757 of the family's 1533-position model. The record is from RNAcentral.